GGAUGAGGCGCCGUUUGUGGAAAACGGAGCGUAGACGCGUGUUUGCAAAGAGCGCUGCGAAGGGAAGGACAGCCUAAUAUUGUUUUGCGAGUGAUUAAAUGGCUACCAGAAGGCGCUGGCCAGUUGCACGCUUGCUUGGAUUGCUCCUGGUCGCCUCAGUCGGUGUGUUUUCGGGGUCAGAGCUCACCUUCACCCUGGAGCCCAGCGACAUCAUCGCCGUGCAGGAACAGCCCCUCAUGCUUCACUGUCAGGUGGACGGGAUCCCUCCAAUCACCACGCAGUGGAGGCGGAACGGCAAGCUCCUGCUGGAGGGCCCAGGAUGUGCCAUGUUCGCCAACGGCUCGCUGCUGAUCAGUCAUUUCCAAAAGACUAAGCUGGACGGCUCUUCCGAUGAGGGAGACUAUGAGUGCAUGGCCCAGAAUCCCAUUGGGCUGCUGGUCAGCCGUAAGGCGAGGCUACAGGCUGCAACGAUGGCUGAGUUCCAUGUGCAACCCCAACCGGUGAGGGCCGAGGAGGCCGGCGUGGCGCGAUUCCAGUGCCAAGUCCGUGGGCUGCCGGAACCCCUCAUCAGCUGGGAGAAGGAUGGCCGGCCAGUGGACACCCAGGGCGGGAGGUACACACUGCUGCCUACAGGGGUUCUGCAGAUCGGCGGGCUCAGCCUGGACGACAGUGGCGUGUACCACUGCGUGGCUCACAACAGUGCCGGCAUCAGGCGCAGUGCAGGGGCCCGGCUCACUGUCACAGGCUCCAAGGCUUCCGUCUACAAGGAGCCCACGAUCGUGGUGGGUCCAGAGAAUCUCACGCUCACAGUUCACCAGACAGCCAUCUUGGAGUGUGUGGCCACCGGCUACCCACAGCCCAUCGUGUCCUGGAGCAGGCUGGAUGGCCGCCCAAUUGGGGUAGAGGGGAUCCAGGUGCUGGGCAACGGGAAUCUGAUGAUCUCCGAUGUCGGGGUGCAGCAUUCGGGAAUCUACGUCUGCGCAGCCAACAAGCCCGGGACACGCGUGCGGAGGACUGCGCAGGGCCGGCUGGUAGUGCAAGCCCCCGCCAAGUUUGUCCAGCCGCCACAGUCCAUUGCCCGGCCUGUGGGCACCACGGCUGUCUUUACCUGCCUGGCCCAGGGCGAGCCCUUGCCCCAGCUCACAUGGCUGAAGAACGGGCAGAUUCUGGAGCCAGGGGGACACGUCAAACUCAGGAACAACAACAGCACGCUCACCAUCUACAGCAUUGGCCAGGCGGACGAGGCCAUGUACCAGUGCAUCGCUGAGAACAGCGCCGGUUCAGACCAGGCUAGUGCGCACCUUGCCGUGCUGUGGGCCGACGGCCUGCCGGGGGCGCCCCGGGGCGUGCAGGCCCAGGCCCUCUCCCCCACGGCCAUCCGGGUGUCCUGGAGGGAGCCAAGCCAGGUCACACAGGACAUCAUCGGCUACGUGCUUCACAUCCGCAAGACAGCAGACUCGCUGGACAUGGAGUACCAGGAGGCCGUGGGAAAGAGCAUGCUGCAGCAGGUGCUCAGCGACCUGCAGCCCUCCACCAGCUACACCUUUUACGUGAAGGCCUACACCUCCCGGGGGGCCAGCAAGCCCUCAGACACGGCCGUGGAGAGCACACUGGGGGAAGUGCCGGCGCCCCCAUCGCUGCACACGAGGGUGGUGGAAGGGAGCACGGUGCAGGCUGUGUGGGAGCCAUCGGGCAAGAUGGGCCAACCCCAGGGAUUCAAGCUCUUCUACCGCAGGCUGCCCUCGGCCACCUUCACGGGGCCUCUGACUUUCGGCCGCAACAUCACACAGUGCAAUAUCACACAGCUGGAGCCGGCCUUUGUGUACGAGCUGAAGCUGCUGGCUUUCAACCAGCACGGCGACGGCAACGCCACCAUGCGCUUCGUCUCCCUCAAGGAGGCCGUGGAGAAGUCAGUGCUAGACCCCCCGUGUGACUGCUUGAAGGACGAGCAGAGCAAGGCUUCCACCACCGGCAUCAUCGUCGGGAUCCAUAUCGGUGUCACCUGCAUCAUUUUCUGCGUGCUCUUCCUCAUGUUCGGUUACAGGGGGAGGUUGAUGAUGUGCAAGACCAUGCAGGAGCAGCUGGCCACGCCCCCAGAGGUUCGCAGUGACGCCCUGGAGCCUCCCACGUACCACGGCAGCCUGUCCCUGAAUGGGGCAGUCCCAGAACCCAACGGGGCCAUUCCAGACAAGACAGGCAUGGACAGUAAUGAGCUGGGGAGAGUCUUCCCCAGGGACUCGCUAAAUCAGACACACAUGAUGGCGGGCGCACAAGUGUCACACACUCCGGAUGAAACGCAGAUCUCUAUGCUGCCGUUGGAGGAUUUCAGCCUGGCCGAGGAGAGUGAGAGCAAAUUCGGAGAGUCCCUGGAGGAGGCCAGUGAUCCGUACGGCCAACCGGAAGAGGGGUGACGGGGUCUGUUUGUGACACUGCCACACCAAAUGCUGCACCUCUGUUGGGACUGUUCUCAGGUUAAUGAGGACGCAGUGUAGACCUACCUCAGCCAGAAGGAAUGUUUGGUGGGAGGCUUUUCCCGUCUUCCCACAUAUUCUGUUAGGCAUCAUAGUUCAGAGAAAAAAAGCAAACGCAUUCAGCGCACUACCUCACACUUCUAGAAACACGCACUCGCUUGUUCACCGAAGCAAGGGGAAAAAAGAAUCCAACGUAAAGCACUUCCAAACACUGAACUUAACAUUCUACCUCAAGACAAUGUUGCAGUUGUCGUUUUCGCUGUUCUUAUUAUUGUUGUUGUUGUUGUUCUGACUUGUCGUCGUCGUCACUAUUACACCUCUACUUCUGCGGUGAGGCCCAGUCACUUUGGGCACCAGGCUCAGAAGCAACAAAUCAUGUUUGAGGACAGUAUUUUGUAGAUGGGCCCUUUUCUUGCAUUUUUUUUUUUAGUUAACAGAUCAUUUUAAUUUAAUUCUCUUUAAGUUUAGUUCUGGCUUCUUUUUUGAGUUACAUUUGAGUUUGGUUGCUUCUAAUCACUACAAAAAAAUUGCAAGCAGUUAUAAGACAUGGUUAAAAUGGUAUAAAUCAAUUGUUAAAAAACACUGCUAAACAGUAUCCUGGAAUACACAUAGUCCGGGUAUUUACGGAUGUGUGUAUAGCCCUUUUCUGACAGGAUUUCUUUUACCUAGGGAGGUUUGGUAUGUCGUAUGUGGAAAACUUAGUAACCAUUCAAGCUCCAUUUUUCACGUAUAAAUGCUGUUUCCGCCUUACAAAAAAGAGGCAUGCCUUUAUAGAUUUAUUACCGUGAUGACAAUUCAGACAGGACUACUAUUACCAAAAAAGCUCCUCCUUCGCUAAAAUACAGAAUGUAAUUCGCUCCUGAAUUUUUCCUCUGGAGGCUUGUAAUACUUACAGACAUAGCAGAUACAGACUGGAUUGAAAUUAUGGACCUAGUCAGUAAUUGCUUCAAUUACAGUAUAUCCCCAGGUAGAGCUAAUCCUGUCCGAAUUGCGCUUAUGAAGCGUGUGUCAAAGGCUGCAAUAUGUUUGUACGCAGAGGAGGGGGUUUGAAGCACACAUUUAUUUUUGAUUUCCCAAUGAGCAACAGUUGUGUCUUUGAGAGGUGGAUCAUGGGAAAUGUAGUUAUUGUCCAUCCCUUUGCAUAUAUGCAGACAUACUGUCACAUGUAGACAACGAAACAGACAGGUGCAUAUGCACGCAGAUGUGAUCAGCCACAGGAACACACAAACGCGCGCCCACACACUUCCGGCAUGUAGAGAAACCAUGCUGUGUUAACCUACCUCAGCUUAAUGCCCGUGUUACCAGGUGAGUGAUUCAGGAAAACAUCUCAAACUAUUAUUUAUGCAUUUACUCCAAAAUGUGAAUGUGAAGAUGUGUCUGUUCAAGACCAAACAAUUUGUGAAGUGCAGUUAUAUUUUCGCUGUUUCCAUAUUUAGCUUGAAUAUGAAUGUAUAAUUGAUUUUUUGUUUAUUAUUGUUAUUAUGCCUGUGGUGUUUCUGAUCUGCCUUGGGUAACUGGUGCCGGGUUAUUAAAAAUUACACAGCAGAAUGUCCACCUUUUUCCCAGCAUGGUAAAUAAGGCACAAAGACUGUGUGAUUUCAGCUUUUCUGUCUGUCUGGUUGUUGACAGAGGGAUGUCUGCAACCGGCAGGGGACGUCAGUUUAGACUGAACCGCAGUGCAUAGCGCUACAUUGGCUCCCGUUAUAAUAGCUGUUCCCACUGUUUGUCCCUGAGCCGUACCCAGUCAGUUUACUCAGUGUGUCUAAAUGAACUGAAAUCCUUUUCUUGGGAUGUAGACGAGUGAAGUGUUUGCUGUGGUCAAUCCAUUCAUAGAGAUGUUGUAGGGUGUCGAUUAAAGCUGCCUAUGGCUCUUGUGGCUGUUAAUAUGAUCAUAUUUGGCCUAUUUUUGUACAGUUGUGAUGCAUAUUUCAGAGAUUUAUAUAUAUAGAUAUAUAUAUAUAUAUUUAUUUCACCACCAUCUUCGUCUGGGUUACAGGAGACAGUUGCCUGUGUCACCUUCCAUUCGCCAUGAAUUCACAGCCAGUUUUUUUCCCCCAGUUUGCAGAUCUGUCCAUUAUUAGCUCCAAUAUAUCGGGGAACGUCACACACAUGAAACAGAAAUUUAUCAUCCAUGUAGCAGUUGUGUGAAGACAAGGUUGAUUUGUAAUUUUUUACUUUUUCUGAAGUGACAUAUUUAAAGUACUGCAUCCUGUUGUUCAGACACUGCUGUGGAACCCUCUUAAUUACGAGGAGGUACUUCUCAGGCUAGAGUUACUGAAUUUACUGUUUAUCCCGCAAGCCUGUGGUGAAAAUUUCUCCUUGAAUGAUGACCCUGAAGGAGCUUUGGGCUUUGCCCUCUUCCUGGCCUCCUAUGAGCUGACUAACUGGGAUGCAGAUUUGCGUUACGAAGGAGCCACAUACGUCUGUUACUGGGUAGGGGAUGGAAGGAGCUUCGGGUUGAAUCGAAAUGAACUCUCCGUCAGCUGAUUCUCUUCCUCUUUUUGUGAAUGGGCUUGUUUUUGCUGUAGGUCAAGAAACUCGAGAGCAAUGUGGCCUGGGGAUAAUCUGAGCCCUGGUUACCCAUUGUAUCCAGCAGGCUUCUGAGAAGUCAGUAGAACAACCUAGGAGGACAGACACACAAGUUCUGUCAAGAUUACAACUCAAAAACUGCAUUACAGCUUUCGGUAAAAGCUCUUCCAGCGAUGACUUGCUGUCAGUCUCAGAAGUGGUGCCAUGGUUAUUAGAAUGUUACUAUGUGGCUGUGAAAGAACAUUUAUAGAGCUUGUCUUCUGUUGUCAUGUUUUUCUGAGGACUGCUUAAUUUCACACACUGUUUGGCUUAAGAUGUGUGAUUUGAAUGGUCCUCAUAUAUAGCUGUCUGGCUGUCUUUCUGCCAGUUUGAGUAAGUAUUUAUUGUUAAUCUUCAAUAUGUAUGGAGUUUCAAUCAGGACUACCAUAAAGUCAUCUUUGAGGAGCUCAAGAAAUGUAAUUUGUUAAAUUAACAUUUUUAUGACCCUAGAAAAUACUCUCCCCAUCCAAAGUUUCUUGAUUAACGUUGAGGAGGCCUUAGGAUAGUGAGUCGGCCGAAUGGUACCUUAUACACCUGACUGUCCGUUGAAGGCUCUGCAGGAUUACAGUACAUACAGGUCAACUUUAACUAUGGUAAGCCUAAAUAAUAGGCUAAUGUCACAGAAUAACCCUGUCACCAUCCCACCCUGGUCAGAUUCUUCUCAAAGCAGCUCUUCCUCUGGCUUUGUGUGACUGCCGCACUGUUGUGUGGAGGGUGUCUGGGGGGUCAGUCUGUGUGUGACCUCCAUUAUUGGCUUUACGAAGGGGGCACUGAGCUCACGCAUCUGCUAGGAACCAGGUUGUUUUGGAGUUACACUCCUGUGCUACAGGCUUAUAGAGUGAGCAGUGAGCGGAAAUCAGGAGAUAGCAUGCAGACAACAGUUUUAGCAUCCAGUUCCAGAAUCAGGGGCGUUGAGAACGCGGGACUUUCCAGAAGGUUUUAUCAGGGUAUCUGGUCUCCAUAACUGUUCUUCCUGUUUCAGUAUUAAGCGUGACUCAGUCGAAUCCGAUGAUUGUUGUUGCAGUGUUUGUUGACUUGCGUGCACACAUACAGGUAGCAAUACUAUGGUUCAGUGAUUCCAUGUUAAUCUUUCUUUAUUGUGUUUAUUAGGACCUACCAAGUAACUGUCCGGUGUCCUUCCCAGUCACUGCUUCCUUUGAUUAAAGGUACCAUUUGUUCAUGGAGUUGUCAGGCUGAUCCCAGGUCAGCACAGCCUUGGUAAUUUAAGUGCCACCCACAUGAAUCCUAAUGUCUGUAUAUAUGUAUGAAAAAAUAGACACUUCAAGUAGUUUGUACUGUUUUAGCAUUCAUGUGCAACAAUAAUGAAGGAAAUAUGAAAACAAUAAACUAG
Paramormyrops kingsleyae is the source of this 6390-nucleotide RNA transcript. It is a transcript of the gene named immunoglobulin superfamily DCC subclass member 3-like, with no coding region annotated. NCBI's taxonomy places the organism in Eukaryota, Metazoa, Chordata, Actinopteri, Osteoglossiformes, Mormyridae. The record is from RefSeq and is a predicted model, not a curated record.